UUUACCGGAAGUUCGGGCAAAUCCCUAAGUACGAUCCGGAAGUCCACCACCUGUUUUUGACACCCAACUUAGUACACCAAUUUCACAUAAUCAGGCUCAUAAGCGACGCCGCACCUACGCACAAACUCAAACCCCGCCGCGGGUUACAUCUCUCCCUACACCCACCAAACUGCAGCGGCGCUGCUUAAUAAUUUCAUAACUUUAAAAUUAUGACAGCAGUGGUAACAAACAAAAACUCCAGAGGCAUCUACAUAAAAUUCCCCACAAGUUUUGUAUACAAUUAAUAAUUAAAUUCCAAUAUCUAAUUAGCCCAAAACAGUCCACAAGAUGAACCCUGUAAUCUGUUUUUUUCUUUGUCUUUUGGAUAGCGACAUACCCGGAUUCAAACAGCGAUAUCUUUUAAAAUAUAAUUCCAAAUCAAGCGCAUAAGUACUCAUUGGAAAGAUAAGACAAAUCCCUACAUAAUUAUCAUACUGGUUAACACUAAUUACCCACGAAAAAUUCCCAGAAACUGCUAAUACCACUGCUGUUCACCCGCCUGAAAAAUCUGUUUUUUUUGACAACAACAUAACCGGAUUCAAACAACGAUAUCUCCUAAAUUAUAACUCCGAAUCGAGCGUAUAAGUACUUGUUGAAAAGAUAACAUAAAGCCCUACAUGAUUCUCAUACUGAUUAACACUAAUUACUCCCGAAAAAUCCCCAGAAACUGCUAAUACUGCUGCUGUUCAUCCCCCUGAAAAUCUGUUUUUUUGGACAGCCACAUACCCGGUUUCAAACGGUGAUAACUUUUAAUUUAUAACUCCAAAUUGAGCGCAUAAAUACUCAUUGGAAAGGUAUGCCAAAGUUCUACAUGAUUCCCAAACUGAUUCCCCUUAAUUCUCCACGAAAAAUGCCCAGAAAUCACUAAUUCUGCUGCUGUUCGUCCACCCCCUUAAAAUUCUGGACAGCCCUUCUACCAAAUCGCACACGCAACAUCUAAACAAUUGGAUUGCCGCAUAAAAUGAACAAGAGAUAAACACAAAAAUCACCUUGGGUUCUCCCCCUUUUCUUCCUCCCUUCCUCCCUCCACCGAAAACCGUUGAAGAUUUGCACCACUCAACGGAGAUCCGAGCGGCAACGAAUGGCACCAUGGGAGGAGGAGAUGGGGGGGGGGCGGCUAGGGUUUGAUGUGUGGCUGCAAGUGCUUGAGAAAGGAGGAGAUGGGAGGGG
This 1209-nucleotide long non-coding RNA is filed under the name Zea mays. RNAcentral's name for it is "long non-coding RNA (ZMAY_LNC003826)". Lineage: Eukaryota; Viridiplantae; Streptophyta; Magnoliopsida; Poales; Poaceae. The record is from RNAcentral.